RNAcentral lists this unclassified non-coding RNA (231 nucleotides) under Hevea brasiliensis (rubber tree). The record is from RNAcentral. Lineage: Eukaryota; Viridiplantae; Streptophyta; Magnoliopsida; Malpighiales; Euphorbiaceae.
CAAGAUCAACGCUCCCAGCAUAUGAACAAGGCCAAAGCACUAAAAAUAUUAUGUGCAAAACUAUAUGAAAUAGAGCGACUCAGCAAUCAGUCAAGUAGAUCGAAACUUCGACUGGAGCAGAUUGGGAGUGGGGACAGAUCAGAGCGGAUCCGCACCUAUAAUUUCCCUCAAGGACGGGUUACUGAUCACCGUGUUGGCAUCACAACUCAUUCCAUAGAUGAUGUUCUCCAG